This is a long non-coding RNA of Alosa sapidissima (American shad), 101 nucleotides long. RefSeq lists it as uncharacterized. NCBI's taxonomy places the organism in Eukaryota, Metazoa, Chordata, Actinopteri, Clupeiformes, Clupeidae. The record is from RefSeq and is a predicted model, not a curated record. The transcript is spliced from 3 exons.
UCAGUUCAUGUUUUGCAACAAGUAUUAAUUCAAGACCAAACAUGAAUGCAUUAUUCUAACAACACACAUUUACAGAGAUAGACAGUGAUUUCAGAGGUAAC